This 230-nucleotide ribosomal RNA is filed under the name uncultured bacterium. Its description in RNAcentral is "partial 16S ribosomal RNA". It matches the Rfam family "Bacterial small subunit ribosomal RNA", at positions 546 to 775 of the family's 1533-position model. The record is from RNAcentral.
CGGAAUUACUGGGCGUAAAGCGUGCGUAGGUGGUUUGUUAAGUCGGAUGUGAAAGCCCCGGGCUUAACCUGGGAACUGCAUUCGAUACUGGGCGGCUAGAGUAUGAGAGAGGGAGGUAGAAGUCCACGUGUAGCGGUGAAAUGCGUAGAUAUGUGGAGGAAUACCGGUGGCGAAGGCGGCCUCCUGGCUCAAUACUGACGCUGAGGUGCGAAAGCGUGGGGAGCAAACAG